GACGAGCGCUGGCGGCGUGCUUAACACAUGCAAGUCGAACGGAAAGGCCCUGCUUUUGUGGGGUGCUCGAGUGGCGAACGGGUGAGUAACACGUGAGUAACCUGCCCUUGACUUUGGGAUAACUUCAGGAAACUGGGGCUAAUACCGGAUAGGAGCUCCUGCUGCAUGGUGGGGGUUGGAAAGUUUCGGCGGUUGGGGAUGGACUCGCGGCCUAUCAGCUUGUUGGUGGGGUAGUGGCUUACCAAGGCUUUGACGGGUAGCCGGCCUGAGAGGGUGACCGGCCACAUUGGGACUGAGAUACGGCCCAGACUCCUACGGGAGGCAGCAGUGGGGAAUAUUGCACAAUGGGCGGAAGCCUGAUGCAGCAACGCCGCGUGCGGGAUGACGGCCUUCGGGUUGUAAACCGCUUUCGCCUGUGACGAAGCGUGAGUGACGGUAAUGGGUAAAGAAGCACCGGCUAACUACGUG
Molecule: ribosomal RNA, 468 nt
Filed under: uncultured bacterium
Lineage: Bacteria
Description: partial 16S ribosomal RNA
Rfam family: Bacterial small subunit ribosomal RNA
Source: RNAcentral